GACGAACGCUGGCGGCGUGCUUAACACAUGCAAGUCGAACGGAAAGGCUCCAGCUUGCUGGAGUACUCGAGUGGCGAACGGGUGAGUAACACGUGGGUAAUCUGCCCUGCACUCUGGGAUAAGCCUGGGAAACUGGGUCUAAUACGGGAUAUGACCUUUCUCCUUAUGGGGUUUGGUGGAAAGUUUUUCGGUGUAGGAUGAGCCCGCGGCCUAGCAGCUUGUUGGUGGGGUGAUGGCCUACCAAGGCGACGACGGGUAGCCGGCCUGAGAGGGUGAUCGGCCACAUUGGGACUGGGAUCCGGCCCAGCCUCCUCCGGGAGGCAGCAGUGGGGAAUAUUGCACAAUGGGCGGAAGCCUGAUGCAGCGACGCCGCGUGAGGGAUGACGGCCUUCGGGUUGUAACCCUCUUUCCGCAGGGACGAAGCGUAAGUGACGGUACCUGCAGAAGAAGCACCGGCUAACUAUGUG
Molecule: ribosomal RNA, 467 nt
Filed under: uncultured bacterium
Lineage: Bacteria
Description: partial 16S ribosomal RNA
Rfam family: Bacterial small subunit ribosomal RNA
Source: RNAcentral